GAUGAAGAACGUAGCGAAAUGCGAUAAGUAAUGUGAAUUGCAGAAUUCAGUGAAUCAUCGAAUCUUUGAACGCACCUUGCGCUCCUUGGUAUUCCGAGGAGCAUGCCUGUUUGAGUGUCAUUAAUAUAUCAACCUUCUCUUUUUUGAGUUGUUUGGAUGUGGGGGUUUGCUGGCCUCUUAAAUGAUUCAGCUCCCCUGAAAUGCAUUAGCAGAACAACCUGUUCAUUAGCGUGAUAAUUAUCUAUGCUAUUGAAUGUGAGGGCAGUUCAGCUUUCUAACCGUCCUUGGACAAUUCAUCAUUAAUGUGACCUCAAAUCAGGUAGGACUACCCGCUGAACUUAAGCAUAUCGAUAAGCGGAGGA
This 362-nucleotide unclassified non-coding RNA is filed under the name soil metagenome. Its description in RNAcentral is "partial contains 5.8S ribosomal RNA, internal transcribed spacer 2, and large subunit ribosomal RNA". The stretch from base 1 to 120 matches the Rfam family "5.8S ribosomal RNA", at positions 35 to 154 of the family's 154-position model. The record is from RNAcentral.